RNAcentral lists this transfer-messenger RNA (351 nucleotides) under Clostridiales bacterium. It matches the Rfam family "transfer-messenger RNA". From Rfam's summary of the family: Bacterial tmRNA, also known as 10Sa RNA or SsrA, is named for its dual tRNA and mRNA-like properties. Its role is to liberate the mRNA from a stalled ribosome. To accomplish this part of the tmRNA is used as a reading frame that ends in a translation stop signal. Lineage: Bacteria; Bacillati; Bacillota; Clostridia; Eubacteriales. The record is from RNAcentral. RNAcentral also lists the same sequence under 1 other name.
GGGGGUGUACUGGUUUCGACGGGGAUCGUCGGGUGUAUGGUAAGCGAGCCGCGGACCCUGAACCGCGCAACAACGGGGAAAUAAAUUAACUGACAACAAUCAGCAAUUCGCUUUCGCGGCCUAACGCCGCGUCGUCGGCCUCAAGCGCUCACGGCUUGAGAUAUCCGGCGUCAUUGAUGUGAGGAACAGGUUCGUCAAAGCUUUGAGGCGACACCGGUAAAAUGAAGCUACCAACCCAGGCAGCCUGCCUCCCGGCGGCCCGGCAAGGGAAAUUAAAAUGAGAGGCUCCGCUCGGAGAAAACCAUAUGCUUGAAUCUUCGGACAGGGGUUCGAUUCCCCUCACCUCCACCA